UACGAAGGGGGCUAGCGUUGUUCGGAAUUACUGGGCGUAAAGCGCACGUAGGCGGAUUUGUAAGUCAGGGGUGAAAUCCCGGGGCUCAACCUCGGAACUGCCUUUGAUACUGCAAGUCUCGAGUCCGAUAGAGGUGAGUGGAAUUCCUAGUGUAGAGGUGAAAUUCGUAGAUAUUAGGAAGAACACCAGUGGCGAAGGCGGCUCACUGGAUCGGUACUGACGC
Molecule: ribosomal RNA, 223 nt
Filed under: uncultured bacterium
Lineage: Bacteria
Description: partial 16S ribosomal RNA
Rfam family: Bacterial small subunit ribosomal RNA
Source: RNAcentral